AACGAACGCUGGCGGCAUGCCUAACACAUGCAAGUCGAACGAGACCUGCGGGUCUAGUGGCGCACGGGUGCGUAACGCGUGGGAACCUGCCCUUAGGUUCGGAAUAACUCCCCGAAAGGGGUGCUAAUACCGGAUAAUGUCUUCGGACCAAAGAUUUAUCGCCUUUGGAUGGGCCCGCGUUGGAUUAGCUAGUUGGUAGGGUAAAAGCCUACCAAGGCGACGAUCCAUAGCUGGUCUGAGAGGAUGAUCAGCCACACUGGGACUGAGACACGGCCCAGACUCCUACGGGAGGCAGCAGUGGGGAAUAUUGGACAAUGGGCGAAAGCCUGAUCCAGCAAUGCCGCGUGAGUGAUGAAGGCCUUAGGGUUGUAAAGCUCUUUUACCCGGGAUGAUAAUGACAGUACCGGGAGAAUAAGCGCCGGCUAACUCCGUG
RNAcentral lists this ribosomal RNA (433 nucleotides) under uncultured bacterium. Its description in RNAcentral is "partial 16S ribosomal RNA". It matches the Rfam family "Bacterial small subunit ribosomal RNA", at positions 29 to 507 of the family's 1533-position model. The record is from RNAcentral.